RNAcentral lists this ribosomal RNA (546 nucleotides) under uncultured Glomus. RNAcentral describes it as "SSU rRNA". It matches the Rfam family "Eukaryotic small subunit ribosomal RNA", at positions 548 to 1098 of the family's 1831-position model. The record is from RNAcentral. Lineage: Eukaryota; Fungi; Glomeromycota; Glomeromycetes; Glomerales; Glomeraceae.
UUGGAGGGCAAGUCUGGUGCCAGCAGCCGCGGUAAUUCCAGCUCCAAUAGCGUAUAUUAAAGUUGUUGCAGUUAAAAAGCUCGUAGUUGAAUUUCGGGACCAAUAUGUCGGUCGUGCUUCGGUACGUACUUGCAUUAUUGGUUUCUCCCUUCUGAAGAACCAUGAUGUCAUUAAUUUGGUGUCUUGGGGAAUCAGGACUGUUACUUUGAAAAAAUUAGAGUGUUUAAAGCAGGCUCGCGCUUGAAUACAUUAGCAUGGAAUAAUGAAAUAGGACGUUUGAUUCUAUUUUGUUGGUUUCUAGGAUCGACGUAAUGAUUAAUAGGGAUAGUUGGGGGCAUUAGUAUUCAAUUGUCAGAGGUGAAAUUCUUGGAUUUAUUGAAGACUAACUACUGCGAAAGCAUUUGCCAAGGAUGUUUUCAUUAAUCAAGAACGAAAGUUAGGGGAUCGAAGACGAUCAGAUACCGUCGUAGUCAUAACCAUAAACUAUGCCGACUAGGGAUCGGAUGAUGUUAUUUAUGAGGACUCAUUCGGCGCCUUACGGGAAAC